CUACGGGAGGCAGCAGUGGGGAAUUUUGGACAAUGGGGGCAACCCUGAUCCAGCAAUGCCGCGUGUGUGAAGAAGGCCUUCGGGUUGUAAAGCACUUUCAGCAGAGAAGAAAAGCUCUGUGCUAAUACUUCAGAGUCUUGACGUAACCUGCAGAAGAAGCACCGGCUAACUCCGUGCCAGCAGCCGCGGUAAUACGGAGGGUGCGAGCGUUAAUCGGAAUUACUGGGCGUAAAGCGCACGUAGGCGGCUUGGUCAGUCGGGUGUGAAAGCCCCGGGCUCAACCUGGGAACUGCAUCCGAUACUGCCAAGCUAGAGUGUGGUAGAGGGAAGUGGAAUUCCGGGUGUAGCGGUGAAAUGCGUAGAUAUCCGGAGGAACACCAGUGGCGAAGGCGGCUUCCUGGACCAACACUGACGCUGAGGUGCGAAAGCGUGGGGAGCAAACAGGAUUAGAUACCCCGGUAGUCC
This 465-nucleotide ribosomal RNA is filed under the name uncultured bacterium. RNAcentral describes it as "bacterial SSU rRNA". It matches the Rfam family "Bacterial small subunit ribosomal RNA", at positions 339 to 796 of the family's 1533-position model. The record is from RNAcentral.